AUGUCCCUACCAACUCUGGAAGCCGAGAUUGAGCUCGUUGUUUUGUCUUCUGAGCAGUCAAGACGCAAGGACACCAGAGAUCCUAAGAAUGAGCUCUCCUCCAGGAUCCGUGCUUGUGCUAUUAUUAAUGUUUGGAGGAAGCAAGGGAGAUUCAGUGACCCAGAUGGAAGGCCAAAUGACGCGCUCAGAGCGGGCUUCUCUGUGAACUGCUCUUACGAAACCACACGGUACCCUGCCCUUUUCUGGUAUGUCCAGUAUCCCGGACAAGGGCCACCGCUCCUCCUGAAAGCCAUGACAGCCAACGAGAAUGGAAGCAGCAGAGGUUUUGAAGCCACCUACUGCAAAGAACCAAAUUCUUUCCACUUGAAGAAAUCCUCAGUGCAAUUGUCAGAUUCGGCCGUGUACUACUGUGCCGAGUGA
Non-coding RNA from Suricata suricatta (meerkat), 420 nucleotides. NCBI's taxonomy places the organism in Eukaryota, Metazoa, Chordata, Mammalia, Carnivora, Herpestidae. The record is from the annotation of a RefSeq genome assembly.